CAGUAGCCACGGUAAUACGUAGGGCGCAAGCGUUAUCCGGAAUUAUUGGGCGUAAAGAGCUCGUAGGCGGUUUGUCGCGUCUGCCGUGAAAGUCCGGGGCUCAACCCCGGAUCUGCGGUGGGUACGGGCAGACUAGAGUGAUGUAGGGGAGACUGGAAUUCCUGGUGUAGCGGUGAAAUGCGCAGAUAUCAGGAGGAACACCGAUGGCGAAGGCAGGUCUCUGGGCAUUAACUGACGCUGAGGAGCGAAAGCAUGGGGAGCGAACAGGAUUAGAUACCCCCGUAGUCCCUGUCUCUUAUAA
RNAcentral lists this ribosomal RNA (301 nucleotides) under uncultured bacterium. RNAcentral's name for it is "partial 16S ribosomal RNA". It matches the Rfam family "Bacterial small subunit ribosomal RNA", at positions 509 to 809 of the family's 1533-position model. The record is from RNAcentral.